Engraulis encrasicolus (European anchovy) is the source of this 126-nucleotide small nucleolar RNA. RefSeq annotates it as small nucleolar RNA ACA64. The record is from RefSeq and is a predicted model, not a curated record. The transcript has a single exon. Lineage: Eukaryota; Metazoa; Chordata; Actinopteri; Clupeiformes; Engraulidae.
AUUGAGUCAGUUGCCUCUGCUGUGACCGUCGGUAGAGGUAACAAACAUGUGCUUAAAUCACUCCGGUACAUCCAAGCUUAUUGCCAGCUUCUAUAGCUGUGCAAUGUGACCAAUGUACCAACAUUG